AACGGCCGUACCAUGCUGAAUAUACCGGUUCUCGUUAGAUCACCGAAGUUAAGCAUCAUUGGGCGCGGUCAGUACUUGGGUGGGUGACCAUCUGGGAACACCGCGUGCCGUU
Caerostris darwini is the source of this 112-nucleotide non-coding RNA. NCBI's taxonomy places the organism in Eukaryota, Metazoa, Arthropoda, Arachnida, Araneae, Araneidae. The record is from the annotation of a GenBank genome assembly.